GGAUUAGAUACCCUGGUAGUCCACGCCGUAAACGAUGGACGCUCGGCGUUUGCGGGCUAUCAACGUCCGUGAGCGCCUCAGCUAACGCGGUAAGCGUCCCGCCUGGGAACUACGGCCGCAAGGCUAAAACUCAAAGGAAUUGACGGGGGCCCGCACAAGCAGCGGAGCGUGUGGUUUAAUUCGACAACGCGCAGAACCUUACCCAGACUUGACAUGUAUCUGCAUGGUCUCGAAAUGGACCAGCCUUCGAGGGUGAUACACAGGUGCUGCAUGGCUGUCGUCAGCUCGUGUUG
This 293-nucleotide ribosomal RNA is filed under the name uncultured bacterium. RNAcentral describes it as "partial 16S ribosomal RNA". It matches the Rfam family "Bacterial small subunit ribosomal RNA", at positions 775 to 1067 of the family's 1533-position model. The record is from RNAcentral.